GACGAACGCUGGCGGCGUGCCUAAUACAUGCAAGUCGAGCGGACUGAAUGGGAGCUUGCUCUUGUUCGGUCAGCGGCGGACGGGUGAGUAACACGUGGGCAACCUGCCCGCAAGACCGGGAUAACUCCGGGAAACCGGAGCUAAUACCGGAUAACACCGAAGACCGCAUGGUCUUUGGUUGAAAGGCGGCGCAAGCUGCCACUUGCGGAUGGGCCCGCGGCGCAUUAGCUAGUUGGUGAGGUAACGGCUCACCAAGGCGACGAUGCGUAGCCGGCCUGAGGGGGUGACCAGCCACACUGGGACUGAGACACGGCCCAGACUCCUACGGGAGGCAGCAGUAGGGAAUCUUCCGCAAUGGGCGAAAGCCUGACGGAGCGACGCCGCGUGAGCGAAGAAGGCCUUCGGGUCGUAAAGCUCUGUUGUGAGGGACGAAGGAGCGCCGUUUGAAGAAGGCGGCGCGGUGACGGUACCUCACGAGGAAGCCCCGGCUAACUACGUG
This 499-nucleotide ribosomal RNA is filed under the name uncultured bacterium. Its description in RNAcentral is "partial 16S ribosomal RNA". It matches the Rfam family "Bacterial small subunit ribosomal RNA", at positions 28 to 507 of the family's 1533-position model. The record is from RNAcentral.